CACGUAAGGGGCGAGCGUUGUUCGGAAUUAUUGGGCGUAAAGGGCACGCAGGCGGUUAUACAAGUCCGAUGUUAAAGACCUGGGCUUAACUCAGGGAAUGCGUUGGAAACUGUAUGACUAGAAUCUUGGAGGGGGAGUCGGAAUUCCUAGUGUAGGGGUGAAAUCUGUUGAUAUUAGGAAGAACACCGGUGGCGAAGGCGGACUCCUGGCCGAAGAUUGACGCUGAGGUGCGAAAGCAUAGGGAGCAAAC
Molecule: ribosomal RNA, 250 nt
Filed under: uncultured bacterium
Lineage: Bacteria
Description: partial 16S ribosomal RNA
Rfam family: Bacterial small subunit ribosomal RNA
Source: RNAcentral